GAACCAAACAUUUAGAUACUCGAGGAUACUUUGUUAAAAAUAACUCGACUGGAUGGAUUUUGGUGCCUGGCCGUUCUUAGUCGUUGGAGCGAUUUGCCUGGUUAAUUGCGAUAACGAACGAGACUCUAGCCUAUUGAAUAGGUGCGUGGCUCUCUUCGCCUUCCAUUCUUCUUAUAAGCACAAGCGGCUCCUAGCCGCACGAAACACAUCAAUAACAGGUCUGUGGUGCCCUUAGAUGUCC
Molecule: ribosomal RNA, 241 nt
Filed under: Ixodes scapularis (black-legged tick)
Lineage: Eukaryota; Metazoa; Arthropoda; Arachnida; Ixodida; Ixodidae
Description: Eukaryotic small subunit ribosomal RNA
Rfam family: Eukaryotic small subunit ribosomal RNA
Source: Rfam by way of RNAcentral